RNAcentral lists this ribosomal RNA (274 nucleotides) under uncultured bacterium. Its description in RNAcentral is "partial 16S ribosomal RNA". It matches the Rfam family "Bacterial small subunit ribosomal RNA", at positions 335 to 600 of the family's 1533-position model. The record is from RNAcentral.
ACUCCUACGGGAGGCAGCAGUGGGGAAUAUUGCACAAUGGGCGCAAGCCUGAUGCAGCCAUGCCGCGUGUGUGAAGAAGGCCUUCGGGUUGUAAAGCACUUUCAGUUGUGAGGAAAGGUUAGUCGCUAAUAUCGGCUAGCUGUUGACGUUAGCAACAGAAGAAGCACCGGCUAACUCCGUGCCAGCAGCCGCGGUAAUACGGAGGGUGCGAGCGUUAAUCGGAAUUACUGGGCGUAAAGCGCGUGUAGGUGGCUUGUUAAGCCAGAUGUGAAAG